AAUUUGGAUUAAUACCCCAUAGUAUAGUUGAAUGGCAUCAUUUGACUAUUAAAGUUCCAACGGUAUAAGAUGAGCAUGCGUCCCAUUAGCUAGUUGGUGUGGUAACGGCACACCAAGGCAACGAUGGGUAGGGGUCCUGAGAGGGAGAUCCCCCACACUGGUACUGAGACACGGACCAGACUCCUACGGGAGGCAGCAGUGAGGAAUAUUGGUCAAUGGGCGCAAGCCUGAACCAGCCAUGCCGCGUGCAGGAUGACGGUCCUAUGGAUUGUAAACUGCUUUUGUACAGGAAGAAACACUCCCUCGUGAGGGAGCUUGACGGUACUGUAAGAAUAAGGAUCGGCUAACUCCGUGCCAGCAGCCGCGGUAACACGGAGGAUCCAAGCGUUAUCCGGAAUCAUUGGGUUUAAAGGGUCCGUAGGCGGUUUUAUAAGUCAGUGGUGAAAUCUGGUCGCUCAACGAUCAAACGGCCAUUGAUACUGUAAGACUUGAAUUACUUGGAAGUAACUAGAAUAUGUAGUGUAGCGGUGAAAUGCUUAGAGAUUACAUGGAAUACCAAUUGCGAAGGCAGGUUACUACAAGUGGGUUGACGCUGAUGGACGAAAGCGUGGGGAGCGAACAGGAUUAGAUACCCUGGUAGUCCACGCCGUAAACGAUGGAUACUAGCUGUUCGGUGCAAACUGAGUGGCUAAGCGAAAGUGAUAGGUAUCCCACCUGGGGAGUACGCUCGCAAGAGUGAAACUCAA
RNAcentral lists this ribosomal RNA (746 nucleotides) under uncultured Bacteroidota bacterium. Its description in RNAcentral is "bacterial SSU rRNA". It matches the Rfam family "Bacterial small subunit ribosomal RNA", at positions 155 to 904 of the family's 1533-position model. Lineage: Bacteria; Pseudomonadati; Bacteroidota. The record is from RNAcentral.